Molecule: long non-coding RNA, 2735 nt
Organism: Mus musculus (house mouse)
Lineage: Eukaryota; Metazoa; Chordata; Mammalia; Rodentia; Muridae
Product: predicted gene, 32930
Exons: 4
Source: RefSeq, a predicted model, not a curated record
CAGUCACAUCCGGUCCACAGUCACAUCCGGUCCACAGUCAGCCAGGCACAUCCGGUCCACAGUCAGGAGGCUGAGAGAUGAACAGAGGUGCUCCUCUGGCUUCCUCCUUUGUAUUCAAUUGGCACCCCAGCCUAGGGAAUGGUGCCACCCACAUGGAGGGUGGGUCUUCCCACCUCAAUCAGUCUACAUAAUUUCUUACAACCUUCCCAAAGAUUCGUCCCCAUGGUGAUCAAGUUGACAGGAUGAACCAUCACAGCAGCUGACGUUGAUUGCCCUGAAUUAGAUGACUAACCAGCGAGGCCGUCAGGACUGCUGAGCAACCAGAUUGUGAGAGCCUUCUCCAGCAAGGCUGGCCAUGCAACCUGAGGAGAGUCAGGGCGUGCGCACUGCAGGAUCCCGCUUCUGUAUCCUUUGUGAAGUGUCCUUUCUCCCAGUCAUGAGCACAGUGAGUUCCUGGCCGUGGGGUGCUCUGUGGGCCUACUGUGUGCUUUUCACCAUUGUGGAGUGGCUGCGGUUUUGUUCCCGUGGAGAUGUAGCCAACGGGACCCAUCCCCCCAUCUUGGUUUUCGGAGGCUUCACUCACUGUUGGCAUGGCUCUCUAAACAGUACUUAAAUUUUGCUUUCAGUUCAGAAACUUAUGUGGUGAAGAUCACAGCCAAUCUUCUGUUAACCAGCGCUCUACUUACAUGCAGUACCUGAAGCAACCAGAAGAGGGCAUCGGAUCACCAGAGAACUGAAAUCAGUCGUUGAAACGGAGCAGGGUUGAAGGUCCCUCCCUCAUAGCCUCAGACUCCAACUGUUUCGUCUGCUGCCACUCAUCUUAAGGGGAAAUGUUGUAAUUGCUUCUCCUUAGAUGGCCUUGCCAUGUCAAGGGAGGACACAUCACUGUUGCCCUCUGCCGAGACACAGCAGGGUCCUGUUCUAAGUUCCUCCAUGUGGGGUGAAACAGCAGCUAUUGGGGGAGUAUUUUGCCCUGGGUGACUCCAUUUACACAACAAGCAUCAUUUAGUUCCAUUUUGAUCAAGAAUACAGAGACAGGAGACCGUAUCAAUGUGCAUGCAGACACCACCCUGUCCAGCACCAGCCAGGAGACACAGACAGAUAAUAACUUGUUCCCAAAAAUUAAAAACAUACUUACAGGUCAAUGUGUGAAUGUUUAAACCCAAAUGAGAAACUGACCAAACACACCAAAAUAACAGAGGCCAUGGCAUUUUCUUCUGGGCUCCAUAAGAAGAAUACCUAAUACUGAAAUAUCAGUGGUCCCGCAAACCUGUUCUCCAGCUACCUAGCGUGUGCGUGUCAAAGGACCAAUAGACAGGGAGUGCCCAACCAUCUCAGGGGCUUUGGCUCAGCACGAGGAGUGGCUCCCCGAUGUCUGAUAAGGCCCAAUCCGACAACCAUCUGUACACCCAUCCAUCUAUCCCUUUAUCCACCAGCCUGAACCUCACUUGCAUGCCUCUGCAGUUAGGAUGAACACCACCCUGUGGUUGUGUCAGACCCAGCAACUUGGGACUGCCAGGUCAUCUCUGCCUCUCUCCCAACAGUUCUUUGGGAACUGUUGCAUGCCUGUUAUCCUCCUGCAGCGACGUGGCACCUCUGUCAGCUGUCCUCCUCUGCCUCCAGUAAGGCCUCUUUACACUCUGACUGCUGGUGCCUCUUUAGCCCUGUUCAUAGCCAUUCUGUAACAUAUAUGUACAUGUAGCAUGUAUUGUGUAUAGAGAGCACACAUGCAAUGUAUCUAUUAAUGCAUACAUGCACAUAAUACACAUAUUCACCUGUGUAGCAUGUACUGUGAGUUCUGAGUUAGGACUAACAACUAGGAUGGUAAUGAAAGAAGCUGUGGUUACCAACAGCCGUGCUUUCUAGGGAAAUUGGAACUACUCGGUCAACUGCAGUCAGUGAAACAGACAGGACCUGUGGAUCUGUAGCCAUUCAAUAAACUCAGGCAUUAUGGAAGACACAGGUCUGUCCGUCUACGUUUCUGGUAGACCACGCUCAUGACAGCGACUCUGAAAUUUAAAUUAAAAAUUCUAUGUGAAAGGGCAGCUCCCGAUUACAGACUGGACACGAGGGAAGAAAAUGGAGGUAGUCGGGCUUUGCUGAGAAUGAUUAAAGGAAGAACAUACCAUUCUAUUAAAGCCUAACUCUUUGUGCAUGCACACAUGUGCACAUACACACAUGCACACAUGUGCACAUACACACAUGCACACAUGUGCACAUGCACAUACAUGUACACAUGUGCACAUACACAGGCACACACACGUGCACGCAUGUGCACAUACACACGUGCAUGUACACAUGCACAGAUGCGCACACACUCAUGCAUGCACACAUGCACAUGUACACACACACAUACACACACAUGCAUGCACACACAUACCUGUGCCAGCACACGUAGAGGCCAGAGUUGAUGUCAAGAUGUUUUCUUCAAAAGCUCUUCCACCUGAGUUUCAGAGACAGGGCCCCUCACUGAACCUGGAGCUCACUGGUUCAGCUAGACUGGCUACACAGCCAGCCCUGGAGUCCACCCGUGUCCCCUCCCCCACACCCGGUGCUGGGGUUACAGACACAUGCCUCCACACCUGCUUAGAGGAGAAGGCUAGGGAUGCGAACUCUGCUCCUCUCGCUUGUUCAGCAGUCAGGCUCAGCCACUGCCCAGCUCCACGCAUGGCUUUUUUUUUUAUGUGCUUCUUAAAUUUUUGUGUUUCUUUAAUUCAUUUAAAUCUGUUCUGUGA